UCAAACUAUAUGUUAAAGUAUUAAAUAGGUACAUUACAUGUACCAUAUAAUAUUAUGUGUCUGAUCUCUCCAUUUUUUCGUUUGAGGCUUUUGGAAUUUUUUUUUUUUACAGAGUAAAAAGGGCUGUCCUUUGAGGGUGCAUGACAGAUUUCGUUGUGCCAAAGUUUAAAAAAUUUCUUGGUAGCUGUGUUCAAUUAUCAUUCAAACAUUGCACAAAUAUGGAUGUAAAGGGGGCCUUUAGUAAAGGAAAAAUUAAAGGUCCUAUUAGUAUAACAUCAGCUUUAACUUCAGCAUUCCUUGAAUGGAUGCUCAUGAUUUUUCUGUUUAUUGACGGUGGUUUCGCCUACUUAGUUACAAAAUUUGCCCAGUAUUGCCAAUUGCAAGUUCCAUGUUUGCUUUGCUCGAGGCUGGAUCAUGUUCUUGGCAAGAAAAGGGCUGGAUUUUACUGGGAAUUAAUCUGCCCUGGUCAUAAGUUGAAGAUAUCUUCAUUAGUUCUUUGUCAUUCUCACAGCAACCUUGUUGAUGUUCAUGGGAUGUGCGAGAAUUGCCUUUUCUCAUUUGCCACAGUAAAUAAGUCGAAUGUUGAAACCUAUAGAUUACUGGUCGGGAAACUUGGGGCAGAUCCUCACCUUGCUGAUGAGGAGCAAACCAAGAGUUCUUCGGGAAUAAGAAAAUGUUAUUGUUGUAAAGAGGAAUGUGUUUCUAGGGGAUAUGCCCAAAAGUUGUUCAAGAUUACAUCUUCGUGCGCUGAUGCAGCUGAACUGACUAAUGGACAAGAGGGGGGUGACACGAAGGAGUCUGCGAACGAACCAUCUACAUCAGUCGUGGUUCCUUUGCCUCAUUUGGAGUACAAAAAGGUCAAGGUUAACUCCGAUUCUGAAUCAGAAGCUGCUCACUCGGAUAGUGAUUGUGCUAGGCCUCUAAUCCGUGCAAGGGACUAUUCGAUAGAUGAUUCUUCUGAUAGAUGUUUGCAUCCGGAACCUCAGAUUUUUACUGUCACUGAUGACGUUGCUACUGAGAAACUAAUACAUUCGGCUUCAGUGGCUGAGCCAUCAGUUCUUGAUCCAGAAAUAGACUUAAAGGCUAGAGAUUUUGCGUCUGUUGUGACCUCGACUGGAGCUGUUGCGCUUGGUUUAGAGGAAUUUAACUGGCAGCAGACUGAACAGAAGACUGAUGUAUCUGCCCCAUCUGAUCUUAUAAGUUUCGAUGAAGUCAACCCCUUGUCCAGUGUCAACGAUAAUCUUGUUGACGUAGCAAGAGAGACCUCAGCAGGUGAGACAAGCAACCAAGUUGUUGAAGGUUGUGGGGAAGUCCCCAGGGCAAGAAGUGAAGAUAUCCCAAAGAGGGAAACAGAACUGGAUUCUAAAUCAGACCCAAAUGAGGUUAGAUUACAAACAGCUGGUUCUUUUGAUCUAGGCGAUGCUUAUAAGCUAGCUGUUGGCAAUAGAGCAAGGCAAUUGUCUGGUAAGUUUUUGGAGCAGAGGUCAUUCAAGGAUUCUACACGAAUGAGUGAAGAUCUAAAAGUCCUACUUAGACAACUGUCUGCUGCUUGUGGUACCGAUACUAUAUUGAGUGAGAUGAGCCCGAGGGUGUCUGUAAAUGGUGAGGAAAUUAUUGGAAUGCAGCUACUUCACAAAAGGAUCUCGCUUGAGAGAAAUGAAUCUGGUUUGUCUCUGGAAGGAAGCGCAGUGAGUGAAAUCGAAGGUGAGAGUGUGUCUGAUCGCUUAAAACGACAGGUGGAGUAUGAUAGAAAACUAAUGUCUGCUCUCUAUAAAGAGUUGGAGGAAGAGAGAAACGCGUCCUCAGUUGCUGCGAAUCAGGCAAUGGCAAUGAUUACAAGAUUACAAGAGGAGAAGGCAGCACUUCACAUGGAAGCUUUGCAAUGCCUAAGAAUGAUGGAAGAACAAGCUGAAUAUGACAAUGAAGCACUGGAGAAAGCAAAUGAUCUACUUGCACAAAAGGAGAAAGAGAUUCAAGAUUUCGAAGCUGAACUUGAACUUUACAAGAAGAAACUUGGAAACAUGGCUCUCUUUGAGGAUGCGCUUGAGGCCAGUUAUGGUUCAAAUAAAGCUAAGCAAGCUCAUACAAUAUGCAGUGAUGGCAGUUCAACUGUUCCUGGUGAUGUAAAUGCUGAUAAACCAACUAGCGGCAGUAGAAAUUGUGAGAUGAAGACAUCAUCUGGAGUCGAUAACAUAGAUAAGGGGAGCAGAGAACAAAUUAUGAAUUGUUUGGACAAAUUGGAAGAAAAGCUCCAGUUGCUCUCUAAGCAUGAGGCUGGCCAAGUCAUUGCUAAUGUUAACUCCGAGUUUUCAGCAGAUGAGUGGGUUGAAGUGGGCAAUCCUAAAGACUCAGAUCAUAGGGAGUCUUCCAGAAAUAAUGGCAAAAUAGAGCCAAAUGUGCACCUAGAGCCAAUUGCAGACACAAUGGAGAAUCUGAAAGUUGAUUUAUCAGUUUUGAGUAGCAGACUGAAAGCACUUGGGAUAGAACACAGCUUUCUUAUGCAUUCCAUCAACUCACCGAGGGGUGGAGAUGAGGGAUCUCGAUUCAUUGAGGAGAUUUCUGGUCCCUUGCGGCAGUUGCAUUUUAUUUUGGAUAGAUCAAGUGGUGAACUUGCACGGAAAUAAAGGCAUUAAAGUUGCAGAAAAAUCAAUGAGAUAGGAGAAGAUAGAGACGUUCUUCGAUUCUUGCAAAUUAAGUUAAAGAUGGUUCUUUCUCCUACUGCAUGAAGUGUACAGUUUCUGGGUGAACUGUGAACAUGGUUUCUCCCAUUAGUAGAAGGCUACAAGCAGCAAUUUAGCAUUGUGUGAUAUGUUUUUCCAAUGAUUUCUUGCUUUUUCAUCCUUCCUUCCCCCCCCCCCCCCCCCCCCCCCUUUUUUGAUUCAUUUUACUACAUAGGUUUGAGUAAAGAUUGCAUGUAAAGUUGAAAUUCAAGAGAAUUUGAUAUAAAGUUCUGCUGGAGUGGCUUGAGUCCUGAUUUUAAUAUAGUGGAUUAUUGAAUUUGUUGUGAUAAACUUUGUUUCUAUCUAA
This is an RNA transcript of Lycium barbarum (goji berry), 3027 nucleotides long. It is a transcript of the gene named myosin-binding protein 1-like, with no coding region annotated. The record is from RefSeq and is a predicted model, not a curated record. The transcript is spliced from 5 exons. Lineage: Eukaryota; Viridiplantae; Streptophyta; Magnoliopsida; Solanales; Solanaceae.